RNAcentral lists this long non-coding RNA (608 nucleotides) under Monodelphis domestica (gray short-tailed opossum). Its description in RNAcentral is "lncRNA (ENSMODG00000046635.1)". The record is from RNAcentral. Lineage: Eukaryota; Metazoa; Chordata; Mammalia; Didelphimorphia; Didelphidae.
ACCUGGGUGAUGAGAGAAAAUAGUGGCAACACCAAUGCUCUGUACCAGGAGCUGUGGAGGAGACUAUCGAGCCAAGAUGGAGUGGCAUUCCAGCUCCUGUCUCUCUGCCCUCGUCCAGACGGCCAACAGAUGUUCUUUGCCAUUGCCGACAAUGACAGGAGACCUCCCAAAGUCAAACAGAUGAAAACAUCACCACAGGCACAUUGGAGCAGAAUUAAAAAGCAUCCCUCUUGUCAUCAUGGUGAUGACAGGUAUUAUAUACCAGGUGUAUGGGAGAUAACAUGGUUGCCUUACCAUGUAAUUAUCAUUGUUUCCAAUGGAGUUAUCACCAACUGUAAUUGCCACUGCUGAGCAUAUGGCUUUUGGUAGUGACUCAGAAAACAACCUGUCGUGUUUGUUCUGAGUAGCAUCUGGGGGACCAAUCAAGGUGUCAUGAUUCUGAGCCAUAAAGGGAGAUGCCUUUAUCUCGGGGGUAACUGAAUGCUUUUCAGCCAGAAGCGAGUUCAGAAUUUGCAUGGUGGCCAAGUGAAGGGCAAUCAAAGGAUUGAGUUAAUGUGACUGUCAAGUGUUGGAUAAAAAAAAAUAAAAAUAAAAAAACUUCAUUCCCA